CGUAGGGCCAAGCGUUGUUCGGAUUUACUGGGCGUAAAGGGCGCGUAGGCGGCGUGACAAGUCACUUGUGAAAUCUCUGAGCUUAACUCAGAACGGCCAAGUGAAACUGUUGUGCUAGAGUGCAGAAGGGGCAAUCGGAAUUCUUGGUGUAGCGGUGAAAUGCGUAGAUAUCAAGAGGAACACCUGAGGUGAAGACGGGUUGCUGGGCUGACACUGACGCUGAGGCGCGAAAGCCAGGGGAGCAAACGGGAUUAGAUACCCCGGUAGUCCUGGCCCUAAACGAUGAAUACUUGGUGUCUGGAGUUAUUAGUGCUCCGGGUGCCGUCGCUAACGUUUUUAGUAUUCCGCCUGGGGAGUACGCUCGCAAGAGUG
RNAcentral lists this ribosomal RNA (372 nucleotides) under uncultured organism. RNAcentral describes it as "bacterial SSU rRNA". It matches the Rfam family "Bacterial small subunit ribosomal RNA", at positions 526 to 896 of the family's 1533-position model. The record is from RNAcentral.